UACGAAGGGGGCUAGCGUUGCUCGGAAUCACUGGGCGUAAAGCGCACGUAGGCGGCUUUCUAAGUCAGGGGUGAAAUCCUGGAGCUCAACUCCAGAACUGCCUUUGAUACUGGAAAGCUUGAGUUCGGGAGAGGUGAGUGGAACUGCGAGUGUAGAGGUGAAAUUCGUAGAUAUUCGCAAGAACACCGGUGGCGAAGGCGGCGACCUGGGUCGACACUGACGCUGAGGCGCGAAAGCGUGGGGAGCAAACAGG
This 253-nucleotide ribosomal RNA is filed under the name uncultured bacterium. RNAcentral's name for it is "partial 16S ribosomal RNA". It matches the Rfam family "Bacterial small subunit ribosomal RNA", at positions 524 to 776 of the family's 1533-position model. The record is from RNAcentral.